Long non-coding RNA from Neogobius melanostomus (round goby), 2825 nucleotides. Lineage: Eukaryota; Metazoa; Chordata; Actinopteri; Gobiiformes; Gobiidae. The record is from Ensembl.
AUGCGUAAAAAAGCUGUAUAUGGCAGAUAUCCGGCACCGGCGACUCUGGAGCGAGGACGCGCUUUAGCACCGGCGUCGGGUUGGCUGAUGCAAGUCAGCAGAGCGACUUCACCAUCGAGGAGGGAAAAAACACACCGAGUCCAAAACCGGAAAUACAUCAGGAUUCAUCAUGACUUCCCUAAAUGUUCGCCCCGACACAAAGCAACAGGUGAGGGGGUAAUGGAUACAGGUUUGCACGCACACCUAAGGAGCAAUAGCUGGUUUAGCAUAUGCGCCUAUUUUGCCUGUUUGUUUAUUGUUUUGUUAUUAGCUAUGUGCUGAAAGAGCCGAGUCAUAGCUGGGACCUCACGAGGGUGGUCUUAAAAGGAUGGUGCUGUCAGUCAUCUGCUGACUAUCCAUUUUUGUCUAUAAACGCCGUUUUAUUUCCCUUCUGACACGCCAAACAUAAAUGCUGUUGUAAUAAAUACUGUGUUUGUCUGUUCCAGGUGGAUAGCUUCUGCCAAAAGCUCAAUAAAGAGGUACAUUUCUUCCAUAGUUUCUUUCACUUUCACUAUUAGGCCUAUCAUAUUUUAUUUAUUUAUGUGAGGUUGUUUUUCAAUCUAUUCUUGUCCCAUGUUUCUCUAUAGGGAGAAGACUUGGUGAAAACAUUUUUUCCACAGAAGAUUGAAGAGAUGCAGCUGAUGUUAACAGUAUGGAAGAUCACUCUUUUAUAUAUUUGAAAGGAUUUUAGGACCUGUUUUGUUGUAUAGGGCAACACAGGGUGGUUAGGUAUUCGGAAGAGUAGUGACCAGCAUUUUUUCAAGAAAGUAGCAUGGCAAAGUAAACAUAAUAUACUGUGCAUGGCAAGUGUUAGAACCACAUAGUAUGGGUGAGGUUAACUCUAUUUGUACCAUAGGUAGUGUUGUUUUGUAAUAUUUAAACAGAGAUGACCAUGAAAACACACACACAUUAACUGGACAGACUGACAGAAGACUAUUUACUAGUUUUAUUAUAAAUGUAUUGCUGUAAUAAGCUGUUAAACCUGUAAUUUAAGUGUGUGAUUUGAAUAAUAUGCUCUUGAAAUUCUUGUUUUCCCCCCAACAUGCAUUUGUAUGUCCAAACCCUGCCAUUGAUGUCAAAUGCUUCACCUCAUACAUAUUGUGCAUUUGUCAGACUUCCUUCAUCUGCAAAGACCUGGACACUCUGAAGGUCCUGCUGACAUCCCGAUGCCGGACCCGGCCAAAGAGGAGGCCAAACGCAAGAAGAAGGAGGAGGCGGUGGGUGAUGGCUGCUGUACUCUUAUCUCGCUCUCAAUAGGAAGCAGACGUAGAAGGUUAAAUGUAUUGUUUGCGUUUAUAACAUGUGUACAGUACCGGCUUUUCUUUAUUUUCGACACUGUUUCCAUUGUGUGAUUCUCAUUGAAGAUAUUUAACUAUUAAUGAACAAGUGGGAUUAUGUAGGAAAUAAAAAAAGGGAGCAAUAACUCAAAAUAAGUUUUAAUUAUUCAAAAUUGCCACCUUUUCUCAAUGAGCUUCAUAAGGUCGUCACCGGAAAUGGUUUUAAAUCAUGAAGCCAAUUGAGAAAAUGUCAAAAGUGCAAAGCAGUAAUCAAAGCAAAAGGCGGCUAUUUUGAAGAAUCUAUUUCACCUUUUUUUUGUUUAACCUCUAAACCCCUGCCUUAACCGAGUGCAUUUUCUGCUGUUUUGUUUUACCCAAAUCCAGAAGUCACAUUUGAAAGCUAAUACCUACAAACUUGUCGCAUUGUUGCUGCAUUUUUUUAAAGUGUUUUGUCGUGUUUUCUUCUCUUUUUUGUCACUUUUUCAUUGCUUUUUUGGUCACUGUUUUGUUAUUUUUCACUUCAUUAUGUGUUGUUGUUGCUUUUCUGGCACGUUUUGCCGUCAUUUUUAAAUCACUUUUAUUGUUGCAUUUUUAUUGCAUUAUUCUUGCUUUUGCGGCACGACUUUCUUCACUAUUGUUGACACUUUUCUUCCCCCAAGAAGCUUCUAGAUUUAGGUAAUUCCAAACUGGAGAACAUGUGCUCGAUUCAGGUUUGGGGUUAAAAGAUUAAAACAUAAUUCCAUUCGUGUUCAUUCAUAAAUUAAUGCCUUCAGUGAGAAUCUAUCAUGUAAACAGUCUUGAAAAGCGUUUAUAAACUUUUGAUGGGUACUUUACAUAAAUCGCUAUAAUGGUCAGAUAAAAGUGCCAUCCCCAAUCCUGAAAAAUAAUAGUUAUAUUCAAACCAGUGUUUUUGCUCUACUCUAAAUUGUACUGUGAAUCAUUGCAUCAUUAGGAGGCGUGACUGGCCCGGUAGCUCAGUUUAUAGAGAAGCUAGUCUAACAAACAAUCUCUGAAUGCUGCCAAUGUGCCCUUUGGCAAGACCCUCUAUCUCUUUGUUAAUGUGUUUAAGUUUGACUGUGAACUGAAUGAACAGUCAAACACUUUGAGAAGCCUGUGGAGCUUAGAACGUAUGCUUUUGUAAGAACAAGAAAAUCCAUCACUUUAAAAUGCCACUUAUGUAACGUGAUUUGUGGCGACAUGCGUCUGAGUUCACUUUGUUCCAUUGGAGAUAAUUGACUUAAUUGGGUAAUAUUCAUGAAGUGGUAAUUAGAUCGAUGAAGUGCGGAGUGGCUGAAAAGGGAAAAUAAACACUUGCGCCUGAUUAUAUUAUGAAAGUGAAAGGUGUCAUUAUAAGAAGUGGCUGUCGUUUUUUGCAUUGAGCCGCUCUCUCUCUCUCUCUCUCUCUCUCCGUUUCUGCCUGUGUUCCUGCGCCAAGGGUUUAAUUUAAUUGCGUCUCACAGAAAAAAAGAUCGUGAGCGGAGAAAAAUCUGACGUUGCCGUGGAAACCGA